Non-coding RNA from Gasterosteus aculeatus aculeatus (three-spined stickleback), 3514 nucleotides. The record is from RefSeq and is a predicted model, not a curated record. NCBI's taxonomy places the organism in Eukaryota, Metazoa, Chordata, Actinopteri, Perciformes, Gasterosteidae.
CCACGCAUCUCUUUUGUUCCUGGGAAAGACGGACGAAAGGGUCGGGGGUAAAAAAAGAGAUGGAAAACCCUCUCGCCAGAUAGAUGCACACGGACAAAGCAGUGGGUAAAGGUCGAAAAAGUACGACGGGUCUGAGUAGAACUUCAUGGCGUCGGUGGAAUCCUCCCUGAUGUGUAAAAAUGAUAAUGAGACGACUGAAAAAUGCUCACUGAUCAGAUGCUGAGGGCUUUUAAUGUUUUUUUUUUAGUGACGCCUGCGGCACCUGAAGGCGGUGAGGUCGCCGAGUGGAGGAGGCCGGUCGCUGCUGUCGUGCAUCUGAGCCACCGAGCUCGGAGUGCUGCCUUUGGACAAAACCUGCUGGUCCUGGACGGGCGAGCUCCGGAAGGCCUUCCUCAGGUUGAUCUCCUGCAGAGACACUGCGAGACAGGCGCUAGGAGUCAAUCGCAACGCACGUGAGGAUGAAAAACCAGUGAUUUAAUGGUCUGGACGACCUCCAGGGAACUGACCCUCCUCCACGCUGGAGUCAAGCUGGGUGACCUUGACGGCCAAGCGGUCUAUGCGGUCCUGCAGCGAGUUGGCGCGCACGUAAAAGGUGUUGGCCUCGUUAAAAAGCUCCCCGAAAACAUUUUCUGCAUGGUUGCCUGCAAAAAAAAAAGGGGGCAGGGAACCAUUAGUGGAGGUAGAGAAGCCGUUAAUACACAGAGAGGUGUUUCAAACCAGAAUAAGCACAGCGUAUUGAACAAAAAGGACAAUAUGUCUUAUGUUUGUAUUAUAUAUUAUAUUACUCUGGAUUAUAAACACUAGGUGUUUGGUCCCCAUAGACGCAACAGCAUUAACGGCACCCGUCAAACCGCUCUGAUCCACUUAUUGUGGCAUCUAUCAUUAGGCUGCCUGUGUUUGUGCCUUCGCUCACUCUCUCUCCAUCUUAUCUGCCCUUACAAAGCCUCACGGUAAGCUGUAAGCUCCUUUAAGUCCAGGCAGACACAUAUACACGUAUGUGCGCACGCACGCACACACACACACACACACACCAGAGCAUUAAUGAGCCAGAUGUCCAGGAGUAAAUUCGCUUCCCAAAAUUGUGUUUCCCUUUCACAUUUGACUUCAGUGCGCACACAGUAGCACUUAAAACACAGGUGAAUGAUUGUAUAGACAUCGUCCUUUAUGAUUUACAAAUCAAACCCUCUCUGCUUCUGUACUAUUGGGCUGAUUUGAAUGUAGGUUAUACAGUAGAUGUCGGAAUUGUCUAGUGUUGGAUAAUAAUGUACGUGCACUUAAACAGAUGAUACAUUAUUUGUGUUUAAUGUUUUUUAAGUUAAACAUCUUGUGUUCUUUAUAGUUUCCCCUUCUGUGAUUCACGUUAAAGAAGCAUCUGAACGUGCCGCGGUACAAACUAAACACGAGUAACUGUGAUCUUACUCAGACUACUGAGCUGGCGAAUGAUAGCGGACAGCGUGUUGUUGGUGACACAUUCCAGCUCGCUGCCGAUCCCAUCAGGCACCGCACCUUGGCACAGGUGCCGAGGCUGAAUGUUUCUCUUGAGCAAAGGCAUGACCUCCUCUCACAUCUCGUCCACAGCACCUGCUGGGGGACAGAGGACGGCUCGUUGUACGUCAACACCAUAAGCAUGAAGCUAUACGUCAAGUGGGUCAAACAAGGUGUGUAAGUGCGUUCAUGUUAUUAAACUGAGCGAUGACACGUUGAAUCCAGGUUACUGAUACAGGAUCUUUGAUGCUUUCCAGCAUUGCUGCAUACUAAUAAUUUCAGAGGCGGAUUAUACAAAUAAAAUAUAGAAAUAGGAUUCUUUUUUUUUUUUUAACCACUGCUGUAAUUUUCAAUUUGAUCCCACUAAAAUUAACACGUGACCCUGCAAGCUGAAAUUAUUUUUGUUUUGAUUAUAUUAGUUUUAAGGAAUUAAAGGAAGUGUAUUUGACAGCUUCAAAAUGAAACCUCUCCUGCUUUUGGGGACAUUUGCCUUUGGAUGUCACAAUUUAUCACCACCUAUCAAAGUGGUACGCCUAUUGUUAUUGGCCUUUUUUAAAAAAAACAUUGCACAAGCUCAUCACAGCUGUUUUCAGUGUGACUACAGAUGUGGCAGUUUUUCCAUUGAAUUUGCAAGUCACUUUACACGCCCGAAUUAAAUAAACUCGACCCACCCAAACAAGAGGUUGGGUGAUUGCCAGUAAUUACAGAUUGAGAAGAGCCAGCACACCAGUAACAAGAAGAACAAGCCUGGAUGUUUGAUGAUAUAUGGAGCUGCGUCACCGGGAACAACAAAAUGAAGUUCACAUUGAGAAUUUUAACAAAUAUUAAGCCCAAUAUAAAGUCCUACAUUUUGGGUUUACUUUUUCAAAUGAUUAAAACUAUUAGCCUGGAUUAGCCUGGACAAUAAGGGAUAUAUUUUACAAGCAAAUCAAGGGCUUUAGAUCUUUACACAGGCCAAACCUACUUCCGCUGAGUAUGUGAGUCCGUUAACAAAAUAAUCAAGAUCCUCACCCAAAACAUACUCUUUGAAUGGCAUAAUUACUGCCAGUAUUAAAACGGAAUUUAUGAAUAUGCAAAACCAUCAUUACAAUGUAUUGUUUUCCACACAAUUCCCUUGCUGGGGGUGUUGGGGGGGGGCUCUCUGAAGCGGGCUUUCAAACGUCAGACAGCAGGUAACUCAAUCACACGGGCGCGUAAAAGCAACGGACCUGUAAUAAGUCAGCGACACGUCGUCCUACCAUAGAGGUGGGCGAGCUGGUCUGGAGCCCUGGACGUGCGUUUGUUUCCCACGUCAGCACGCCGCGAUGGAGCGGUAACGGUCGGUCCCGUGCAGUUCCGUCCGAGUUGAGCCGACCCUCGGCCGGCCCGCUGCAGCCGUGCGCUGGACGUUGGCUUCCGUCAUCUCUGCAUGGCUGAGUUCACUCUGAAAACAAAUCUCUCCGGUCCAAAUCACAGCUUGAGCCUCGGGGGAUUUGUCUAGCAGAUUUACGCCAGUCAUCCAAUCACAGCCAUCAAGCCGGCCGUAUGACAUCCAGUGUUUCCUGUGCGGAUGUAUUAAUGCUAUUUUUUAUUUUUUUUCGAAAGUCAUUUGCGGCCUUCUAUGAAUUGGAUAUUGACACAGCUAUUUCCAACUAUUAAUAGUAACAACUGCUUCAAAGCUGAAACAGCCCCUUAAUAUGGAAGUCUGAAAAUCUAUUAAUUUGUGCCAGACAUAAAACACAUUUAAUUUAUAUACAUUUGUAACUUGGAAUAAACGUGAAAAGAGCUUUAGCCUUUGAUUUUUUCUUUUUCUCACAGAUGGCAUCAUCUGGAUUGCAGGACGGACUGGUGUAACCCAGAUACGAGGGCUUAAAUCUUAAUAAAUAGAACAACCUGAUAUUAUGGCUCGUAAUGAGUAUCGCUUUACAUGUGUGUUCCUUUUCUUUAGCCUUUUGUUUUGAUGCUUUUGAUGGUUUUAUGUGACACACUUUGAGUUGCCUGGUUGUUGGAAUGUGCUCCACAAAUAAACCUUCUGGCCUUGCUGCUUUCA